GGGAAGAGAAGUUCUUUUUCUGUUGGGCUGCUGAGGGGCGAUGAGGCCAGCCUGGGAGUGGUGGUGGAGAGGCCCCCUGAGCAGGACAGCAGCACAGAGGGCAGGAAGCCAAGCCAAGAGGCUGGGAGGGACGAUCCCUGCUGAUGGCGUCGAGCACCCAGGCUGUCAGCUGGAUGAGAAUGGAGAGCUCUGCCUGCUUCUCCUGCUGUGCUGUGCCCGGUGUCCAGAGCCAGCCGGCAGCCGCAGGGCAUCAGUGACGUGCGCUGGGCCAGUGAACACUGCAGACCACACAGGAGCAUACUUCCAGGAGUGCUAAGCGCCGUUGGCUCCUUCACUGUCCAUGGAGCCCAGCUCUGUGCCCGGCCCUGACUUGCGCUGUAGGCACGAUGGCCAUGAAGGAGACAAACUCUGCCGCCCCCUGGAGCCGUCGUCACAGAGGGACAAACAGUGAGCAGAGCACAGCAGCCCACUGUGCACGUGCAGCCAGAGGCGUCUUCUCCAAUGGAGGCCGAGGACGUCGCUCCCUGGUCCUGAUCCCCUGCUCCUUAGAACCUGACCCAGGGCCCUUGCUGUGGAACUGAGCUUGGACUAAUGAGGCAGCUCAGAGGUAGCCGCUGGCCAGCCAGCCAGGGCCCAAGCUCACAGAAGAGGAGAAAGCCUCAUCAGCAGAGCAUUCCACUGUCACAGCUGACUGCUUUCCAGGCCUGAGCUGGAGGAUAUCUAAGCCAGCUGCCCUGCCUGUGAGCAGCCCUAUGGAGAGGCCCACGUGGUGAGGACCCGACGCCUCCUGCCACCAGUCGCACAUGGGAGCAGAGACAUAGAUUUCCAGCCUGGGACGAUGCAGCGCCUGCCGACAUCCUGACUGACCCCUCGAGAGCCCUGAGUCAGAGCCACCCAGCUGUGCUGCCCUUGGGCUCCUGACCCACAGAGACCAAAACAAUAAACAUUGGCUGCUGUGGGGGCUCAGUCUCGGGGUUGUUCGUCCCCCAGCAGGAGACAGACCUCUCCUCAGAGACUGUCCACUGUCCCCUGCGUGGCAGCCUUCACUCAGGGCCCCUGAAGCCG
Molecule: long non-coding RNA, 1065 nt
Filed under: Equus caballus (horse)
Lineage: Eukaryota; Metazoa; Chordata; Mammalia; Perissodactyla; Equidae
Description: lncRNA (ENSECAG00000036076.2)
Source: RNAcentral